This 498-nucleotide ribosomal RNA is filed under the name uncultured bacterium. RNAcentral describes it as "partial 16S ribosomal RNA". It matches the Rfam family "Bacterial small subunit ribosomal RNA", at positions 27 to 507 of the family's 1533-position model. The record is from RNAcentral.
GGAUGAACGCUGGCGGCGUGCCUAAUCCAUGCAAGUCGAGCGAACAGACGAGGAGCUUGCUCCUCUGACGUUAGCGGCGGACGGGUGAGUAACACGUGGAUAACCUACCUAUAAGACUGGGAUAACUUCGGGAAACCGGAGCUAAUACCGGAUAAUAUAUUGAACCGCAUGGUUCAAUAGUGAAAGACGGUUUUGCUGUCACUUAUAGAUGGAUCCGCGCCGCAUUAGCUAGUUGGUAAGGUAACGGCUUACCAAGGCGACGAUGCGUAGCCGACCUGAGAGGGUGAUCGGCCACACUGGAACUGAGACACGGUCCAGACUCCUACGGGAGGCAGCAGUAGGGAAUCUUCCGCAAUGGGCGAAAGCCUGACGGAGCAACGCCGCGUGAGUGAUGAAGGUCUUCGGAUCGUAAAACUCUGUUAUUAGGGAAGAACAAAUGUGUAAGUAACUAUGCACGUCUUGACGGUACCUAAUCAGAAAGCCACGGCUAACUACGUG